Molecule: long non-coding RNA, 2931 nt
Filed under: Zostera marina
Lineage: Eukaryota; Viridiplantae; Streptophyta; Magnoliopsida; Alismatales; Zosteraceae
Description: long non-coding RNA (ZMAR_LNC002577)
Source: RNAcentral
AUAAAAACCGAAAUUACUAAAACCCCAAAUCGUGAUUUCAUCCUGAACCCCCAAACCUACUCCCAUCGAUACUUCCUGUCUGGCGAUUCCAACCUCUCAGGCGAGGAGCAAGCAACUUCCUUCACCGUUUCCUGUCCAUUCCUGUCCGGCGAGCAAUUUCCCGUUGAUACCUCCCGUCCAUUCCUGUCCGGCGAGCAACUUGCGGCUACAUCUCCAGUUCUGUCCGGCAAGGUUAGGCUUCCAUCCGGCGAACGUCGACGACUUCGGUUAGGCUUCCAUCCGACUCAGGUUAGACUCCACAACCCAUCUUUGGGUUCUGAAUUUUUUUCAAUGUUUAAUCAAUAUCGAUUUAGGUUUUCCAUUUCACUUUCUUUCCAUUUCAAAAUUCUUUGGGUUUUCCUUUUCCCGAAAUUAAAAUCUCAACUAGUAUAUCCAGAAAUUAUCACCUAUUUUCCCCAGUACAUGUCCCCCAAUAUAGUUUAGAGUUUAGAAAAAUAAAUUGUGUAUUUCCCCAAUACGCAAUUACAACUGGAGUGUUGUGGGAAUUAAGGGAUUGAGGAUUGAUUCUCUCCAUUAAUGACUCAUAAAUCCUUUAUUGCCCAACUCUAAAUUACUGUCUCAUACCAUCUGUCUAUCUAUCUAUUAGUUGAUGUUAUACCAUCUGUAACAGUUUUAUACAACCAGAAGAGCUUGCAGAGACAACCAUGUCUGACUUUUCCCUCCAGUAUACACUGGAAACGAAAUGUCCAUUGUCAUAAGCACUCUCUUGGUUGGAUAUUGGAUCUAUAGAACUAAACUUGUGUGAAGUUACCAAAUUUCUGUUAAUAAUUAAGCAAGAAGCUAAAAAUAAAAUGAUUUCUUAUUAAUGAAUUACAAUCAGUUUUUAAAGUUUAAUGACACUUGAAAUUGAAAAUAUAUAGUUUUAGUUUGUAGAUAUAUGACAUUGUAGUGUAUAAAAAUAGAAAGAAUGAGAAGAAAAAUCAUACUUCAUUGAUAUUCCAAAGUUUGACAGGAACAAUAUGAAAUCCGAAUGUUGGAUUUUAAAAUAGGAAUAAUAUUAAAAUAUGUAAACAUGAAUAAUUAGGAAUAAUCAAAAACAGAAAUAAUUAGGAAUAAUCAAAAACAGGAAUAAUCAAAAAACAAAGUAGCCAUGCUUAUUCCCAUAUGUUGGGUUUUAAAACCAAAACCCCUAAAACUUGAAGUUAAAAGCCCCAAAUCAUGUUUUGAAGUUAAAAGCCCCAAAUCAUGUUUUGAAGUUAAAAGCCCCAAAUCGUGUUUUGAAGUUAAAAGCCCCAAAUCAACCUACUCCCUCCCGUUGAUACUUCCUGUUGUCCGGCGAGCAGCAGCGAUACCUCCAGUCCGGCGAGCAGCAGCGAUACCUCCUGUCCGGCGAGCAGCAACGAUAUCUCCAGUCCGGCGAUACCUCUAGGCCAUUCCGUUUAUUUCACCUCCAGGUAAGAUCGAUUUGUUUCUAUUCUUGAUUCAUAUGUUUACUUCACCGAUUAUUUAUGUUUUUGUUCUUGAUUCUAUUUUUAAUAGUUGUUCUUCAUUAUUCCGUUGUUGAUUCUAUUCUUAAUAGAUGUUUUUCUUUUUUUCUGUUGACUUUGACAUGGUUCAAGAGCAUCAUCCCUCAUGUCUAGUGGCCAUGGUUUAUGACAUGGUCAUAGACUAUAGAUAAGAAUCUGUAGAACCAAAAUGUCUCUUUCUUGUGUUGUAUGAAUCUAAGCUAGGAUGCUGGUCCUGAAAUAAAUCUCUAAGUUCUCCUCAAAUUCUGAAGAAUUCUCUUGCAUAAUAGCCUCUUGCAUAAUAGUCUAUGUGUUUGUAAAUCCUUAUCUGUGUGUUGACUCUCACCUAGCUGAAGUUCGUCUAAGAAUAAUAAAUAUUUAGGCACAUAAACUGACUAGAUGAUGACAAAAAUAUGUUAUAUGUUGCUGGUAUUUUAAAUAACUUUAUUUCCCACUUCAUUAUUUAAGCCAAUGAUCUAUUUGGAAUUUUAGAAGAAUGAAAUUCAGAUUUGACCAUUAAAUUUCAAGUUUGCUAAAAUAUUUUCAUUUAAAUGAAAACUAAAGUAAUAUUUUCAUAAAAUAUCUUAUCCCUGCUUAUAUGUAUGAAAACUAAAGUAAAAUUGUAAUACGAUUUCAUGUUAUUUAUCCUACUAUGCCAAAAUAAUGUAGUUUGUUUGUAUAUAGAAAAUUAGGCUAGUCAUUAAGAGGUUGCCACUAAGUUUACCCAAAAGAUUUUAAAUGUUAUUUUAUAGUUAUUUCAACCCUAUCCUACUUUUGUAGUUCUAUACUUCUAUUAUCCGUUCUGUUUUCAUGAUUUGUUGUAUUCACAGAUUAUAAAUGGCACCCAAAAAAACAUUGGUUAGUAAGAAACGACGACUUACACGAAGUUCUGUCGACCAUGACGAACCUUCUUCAAGUACUCAUGUUCCGACUGCAACUUUCUAUUGAGAAAGAAAAAGAAAAAGAAAAAAUGAACGAUCAAAUGGAGAAGUUAAUAGAGGUAUAUGUAUGAAAAUCAAUAUAAUUUUAAAGUAAUACAUAAAUAUAAAUGAAUCUUAAAUGUUUUACAGGAUAAUCGAGUUUUAAAAAGAAAAUAUGAUGAAAUGUUUGAUAUAUUUGAAGACCUGAAGAAAACAGUUUUAUCCCAAUCAAAUACAACUCCACAACCUUCAGAUCGUGGAUCGUUGCAGGAUAGAAGUAUUAAUGCAGGUCAGAGCGAUCAAAGAUAUCAAACUCCUCCAUCCAAAUAGGUCUUCCAUGUUAUUUUUGUUGAAUGUUAGUUUUGUUGAAUGUUAGUUUUGUUGAAUGUUAAUUUUGUUGAAUGUUGUUUUUGUUGAAUGUUAGUUUUCUUCAAUGUUGAAUGUUGUAUUUGUUGAAUGUUGUUUUUGUAUUGAAUAUUUGUUGAAUAUUGAAUGAAUUUACAGGA